AGAUUAAGUUAUUAAGGGCGCACGGUGGAUGCCUUGGCACUAGAAGCCGAUGAAGGACGUUACUAACGACGAUAUGCUUUGGGGAGCUGUAAGUAAGCUUUGAUCCAGAGAUUUCCGAAUGGGGAAACCCAGCAUGAGUUAUGUCAUGUUAUCGAUAUGUGAAUACAUAGCAUAUCAGAAGGCACACCCGGAGAACUGAAACAUCUUAGUACCCGGAGGAAGAGAAAGAAAAUUCGAUUCCCUUAGUAGCGGCGAGCGAAACGGGAAGAGCCCAAACCAACAAGCUUGCUUGUUGGGGUUGUAGGACACUCUAUACGGAGUUACAAAGGACGACAUUAGACGAAUCAUCUGGAAAGACGAAUCAAAGAAGGUAAUAAUCCUGUAGUCGAAAAUGUUGUCUCUCUUGAGUGGAUCCUGAGUACGACGGAGCACGUGAAAUUCCGUCGGAAUCUGGGAGGACCAUCUCCUAAGGCUAAAUACUCUCUAGUGACCGAUAGUGAACCAGUACCG
This 510-nucleotide ribosomal RNA is filed under the name Staphylococcus aureus. RNAcentral describes it as "partial 23S ribosomal RNA". It matches the Rfam family "Bacterial large subunit ribosomal RNA", at positions 1 to 503 of the family's 2925-position model. Lineage: Bacteria; Bacillati; Bacillota; Bacilli; Caryophanales; Staphylococcaceae. The record is from RNAcentral.